GAUUACCUCAGUAACGGCGAGUGAAGCGGUAACAGCUCAAAUUUGAAAUCUGGGUCUUUCAGGCUCCGAGUUGUAAUUUGUAGAAGAUGCUUUGGGUGCGGCCCCGGUCUAAGUUCCUUGGAACAGGACGUCAUAGAGGGUGAGAAUCCCGUAUGUGAUCGGUGGCUUGCGCCCGUGUAAAGCUCUUUCGACGAGUCGGGUUGUUUGGGAAUGCAGCUCUAAAUGGGUGGUAAAUUUCAUCUAAAGCUAAAUAUUGGCCAGAGACCGAUAGCGCACAAGUAGAGUGAUCGAAAGAUGAAAAGGACUUUGGAAAGAGAGUUAAACAGUACGUGAAAUUGUUGAAAGGGAAGCGCUUGCAACCAGACUUGCGCGGGGUUGAUCAUCCGGGGUUCUCCCCGGUGCACUCGGCCUCGCUCAGGCCAGCAUCGGUUUCGGUGGUUGGAUAAAGGCCUUGGGAAUGUGACUUCUUUCGGGGAGUGUUAUAGCCCUCGGUGCAAUGCAGCCUACCGGGACCGAGGACCGCGCUUCGGCUAGGAUGCUGGCGUAAUGGUUGUAAGCGACCCGUCUUGAAACACGGACCAAGGAGUCUAACAUCUAUGCGAGUGUUUGGGUGUCAAACCCAUACGCGUAAUGAAAGUGAACGGAGGUGAGAACCCUUAAGGGUGCAUCAUCGACCGAUCCUGAUGUCUUCGGAUGGAUUUGAGUAAGAGCAUAGCUGUUGGGACCCGAAAGAUGGUGAACUAUGCCUGAAUAGGGUGAAGCCAGAGGAAACUCUGGUGGAGGCUCGCAGCGGUUCUGACGUGCAAAUCGAUCGUCAAAUUUGGGCAUAGGGGCGAAAGACUAAUCGAACCAUCUAGUAGCUGGUU
RNAcentral lists this ribosomal RNA (866 nucleotides) under Pezicula sporulosa. Its description in RNAcentral is "eukaryotic LSU rRNA". It matches the Rfam family "Eukaryotic large subunit ribosomal RNA", at positions 73 to 956 of the family's 3401-position model. Lineage: Eukaryota; Fungi; Ascomycota; Leotiomycetes; Helotiales; Dermateaceae. The record is from RNAcentral.